GCCUGGGAUGGAGGGCAGACGGUGGGAAGGAGGUCGGGAACCCAAAUUGGCCUUUAGUGCCUCAGGGCCUUUACACAGUUUCUGAUUGAAUUUCCUUAACAGCCCAGGGAGGCUCGUGCCCAUUUAUUGCAGGAGGAAACAGGCUCAGUAAAUCUAAGUAACUUGUGCAAUGCCACGCAACCUGCUUCUCAAAAGGUUUGGGAUGAAAUCAGAGGGAAAAAGAACAUGUCAGACAUUCCCCAAAGGAACUGACAGUUCCAGAAGCUGGCCUGAGGUGGAUGGUGGCCUUUUUUUCUACUUGGUCCAUCUUUCAGGAUGUGGGUCGUGUGGCCUGGCUUCAGUGAGAACAGCAGGGACACGUCCUCUCUGCCUUUCCCUCCCUCCCCCAGCCUUUAUCCUUUGCUCUUGUACCCUCUCCUGGAAUUUAACUCAGGGCAGAGUUUGAAAUUUCACAUCCCAGGUCUGUCCCUGAAAAUGUGAAAGGAGGCUUUCUGGGCUUGAAGGGAAGAGGCGAGCUGCAGUUGGGAGAACUAACUUUUUCCGUGGCUCAGCUCCCCCGGUGCAGCGAGGAUCCACACUCACCCUGUGGUUCCUGGACCAGAAGCCUGUUAGAAAUGCAGAAUCCAGGCCGGGUGCGGUGGCUCAUGCCUGUAAUUCCAGCACUUUGGGAGGCCGAGGUAGGCGGAUCACCUGAGGCCAGGAGUUUGAGACCAGCCUGGGCAACAUGGGGAAACCCAGUUUCUAUAAAAAAUACAAAAAUGAGCCUGGUACAGUGGGAUGCACCUGUAAUCUCAGCUAUUUGGGAGGCUGAGGCAGGAGAAUCGCUUGAACCCGGUAGGUGGAGGUUGCAGUGAGCUGAGAUUGUGCCACUGUACUCCAGCCUGGGCCACAGAGCAAGACUCUGUCUCAAAAAAACAAAAAGAAAUGCAGAAUCCCAGGCCCCACCCUGGCCCUCCUGAAUCAGGCUCUGCUUUUUACUGAACGAGAUCCCCAGGUGCUCCUUUGCUCACUGAGGUUUGAAAAGCGCUGAGGCUGGGUCCCGCAGGCAGGAGGAGGACUUUGGGUUUCAUCUGCAGUGCGAUGAGGGCCUUUGGGAGGGGGCUGUGGAGCAAAGGCAGAUGUGAUGGAAUCUCUGUUUUCGGAGUCUGCUCAGGCUGCUGGGUCCAGGAUAGCUCUGGGUACUGAGUGGUUGUCGGGAGAACAGUGAGGAGGCCAUUGGUACUCAGGCCAGGGAUGGCCACGGGCCACCAGCUCAUGAUGGGUGAACAGUGACACCUGGAGCUCUGCUGCCAUGAGUGCCCAGCUCAGGGACUUUGGGGUGGGGAUGGGGGGCCCCUUCCUUCCUCUCCCCUCCCCUCCCAAGAGACUGCAGUCACCGGAGCCAAAUCCCAGCAGGUCUGUGCUCACUGCUGAGCUGUUCUGCCUCCUUCCUGACCCUUCCUCCAGCUCUUGAGCAGGAUUUUAAUACCAAUGACUUGGUGUGAUUGACACACACAAAUGCAUGUGCACACAGACACACGUGGACUCACACACGUACAUGGCUUUGCGGGACAAUUGGCUACUUUCCCCUGAGCAGAACAAGCUGGCAGUGUUUAGCCAGGGAGAUUUGGAAAACUGCCUGGUCUAGUGGAAAAAAGUGUUCCACGAAGUUUAACAUCAGCUGCCCUGGAGGGUCUCUUCGUGGAGACAGGCUCCUGGGAAAACAUGAGUUGUAUGCGAUGGCCGACUGGGCAGUUUGCCUGGCCAGAGGCAACAGAGAGGAGAAAACAGGCAUCAGGUGAGUGGAAAAUCCCUGUAGGGAGAGGACCCAUGGGGACCAUGGUCCAGGAAAGCAAAUCUGCAAAGGCCAGAGACGAUUUAAAACCCUCAUAAAACACGUCCCCUUCCUAAUACAGAACAUUUGCCAAGAGGGCCCCUUUCCUCCUCGGUGAGGCCUGGUGGGUAAAACUGGACAUAUAAAAGCAGGGACAGAGAGUCAUGGGGGUGACAGAGAGAGAUGGUGGGAGACAGAGCUGGGGCCAUGGGAAUGCUAAAUCCUUACCCUAAACCAAGAGUCAGCGGACCUUUUCCAUAAAGGGGCCACAUGAAUCUCUCAAAACAACUCACCUCUGCUGUUCUAGCAUGAAAGCAGUGACCAACUGGAAAUGAAUGAGUUGUGGGCGUGUUCCAAUAAAUCCUUAUUUAUGAACACAGGCAUUUGAAUUUCAUGCAACUUUCACACGUCAUGAAAUAUCAUUCUUGUUUUGAUUAUUUUCCAACCAUUUAAAACUGAAAACCACUCAGACUUGCAAACUGCAUAAAAAAAGGCAGUGGUCCAGAUUUGGUCUGUGGACUGUUUUCAGUUUGUCAACGUCUCUCCUCUACCACUAGCAAGCUAGCAAACUUCAGUCUGUCAAGUCCUAAGAAAUAAAUGAAGCAGUCUCAGGAAGGCAAAAUCUACUUUCCAGGCUGGGCACGGUGGCUCAUGCCUGUCAUCCCAGCACUUUGAGAAGCCGAGGCAGGAGGAUCACUUGAGUCCAGUAGCUCAAGACCAGCAACUUAGUGAGUUCAAGGACAACACAGUAAAACCCCAUCUCUAAAAAUAUAGAAAAAUUAGCCAGGUGCAGUGGUGCAUACCUAUAGUCCCAAUUACUCAGGAGGCUGAGGCAGGGGGAUUGCUUGAAUCC
This 2666-nucleotide long non-coding RNA is filed under the name Homo sapiens (human). Its description in RNAcentral is "HSALNT0001855". The record is from RNAcentral. Lineage: Eukaryota; Metazoa; Chordata; Mammalia; Primates; Hominidae.